This 1181-nucleotide long non-coding RNA is filed under the name Lupinus angustifolius (narrow-leaved blue lupine). RNAcentral's name for it is "long non-coding RNA (LANG_LNC000291)". The record is from RNAcentral. Lineage: Eukaryota; Viridiplantae; Streptophyta; Magnoliopsida; Fabales; Fabaceae.
UGCACUACUAGACUCACUAGGUAAUAAACAAAUAAAAGAUAUGCCAGAUGAAACACAGUAUAUAUACAAAUUUGAAAUAAAAAUGCAAUGUAAAAAUAAGUUAACAAAAGACAUUAAAUAAAACAGAAAAUGAAAUAAACAACUAAACAUAUAUACAAUAUUAGAUAGGACAAAGAAAUGAAAAAGGGAAUAAAGAGAAAGGGGAAGACCAGUGUCUUGCCCAGACCCGUGAGGGUCUUCUCCUUCAGGACCCAAGAGGGUCUCUUUCUCUCACCUUCAACCAGCGAAAUGGUCAUUGCUCCACGGCUGGGAGCUGCUCACGCCGUGGCGAGGAAAUAUAGUAGGGUUGCAAGGUCGUGAAUGAUGCCGGCACCAAGUGCCAACCAUGGGGAUGGUCACAAAACCGAGACUGCACAGUGUGAGGAGGGCCGUCGGAAAAGGUUGCCAACGCGCGAAGAACUUGCCUCACCUCUGGACGAUGAUGUCUAGCACCGCUGGGUCUUCCUAUUAGCAACACGUUUACAGCUCUUGAUGUUUGUGGCUUAAGCACAUCUAUAGGUGUAUUGUUGGUGAAGGUGGUAUAUUUGAAUGGAGAAGAAGAUUGAAGGAUAGCUCACUUUUUCUUCUCUCCUAGAUCUUGUUGUUUGAAGAAUAUGUAGACAAAGAGAAUAACAAAGAAAUGGGUUAUAUUGUUGUUGAGGUUUUUUGAGGGAGAGAGAGAAGUCGUCACUUUCUUGUUCUCUCUGUCAGUGUUACUGCAAUUGAUUGCCUUUUUUCCUCUAUGUAUUGGUAGCUUUGAUUUUGGGAUAUAAGGGUGCUGAUUGUUGUUCGUUAGGAUAAGGUAGAUACUAAUGUCUUUGUGUGUAAUUGUGUGUUUAGAUUUAGGGGCUGGUGGUGUUUAAGGAUAAGUUGCUCUGGUUUGUUUUUGGUUUUUGCUGAUUGUGGAUAGAAGCUAGUCAUUCAUGUGAUGGUAGUGGACUGCCAUCUUUUUCAAGAAAGAAGGGAAUGUUUACUCAUUUGUUCAUCAUAAGAACAAAACAAAAAACCACACCCAUCUCCCUUUAUUUUUAGGAGUCGAGAAAGAGAAAGUCGGUAGGAGAGGAUUUUUUUCAUUGAACCUCCGUGCUUUGAAAUGUUGGAAUAUGAUUAAUUUUAUAAUGAACACUCCUUAUCAUGCCAAG